RNAcentral lists this unclassified non-coding RNA (214 nucleotides) under Melitaea cinxia (Glanville fritillary). Its description in RNAcentral is "misc RNA ENSMCXG00005005080.1". Lineage: Eukaryota; Metazoa; Arthropoda; Insecta; Lepidoptera; Nymphalidae. The record is from RNAcentral.
GUAGACGAAAUAAUUGUGUUUGCUCGCAAACGAAAAAAAACCGACUUCAAUUACAUCGACAAGUAAUAAUACAACGUAGAUCGACGAAAAAAUAGUUAAGCAACUACGCGUUAUUAAAGAUUACUCAAAAAGUAGUUAUCAGAUCUCGAUAAAAUUUAUAUGUGACCACAUGAUAAACAUCAGCUUUCGAUUAAAUUAAAAUUUAUCAAAAUCG